CAGCCGCCACGGUAAUACAGAGGGUGCGAGCGUUAAUCGGAUUUACUGGGCGUAAAGCGUGCGUAGGCGGCUUUUUAAGUCGGAUGUGAAAUCCCUGAGCUUAACUUAGGAAUUGCAUUCGAUACUGGGAAGCUAGAGUAUGGGAGAGGAUGGUAGAAUUCCAGGUGUAGCGGUGAAAUGCGUAGAGAUCUGGAGGAAUACCGAUGGCGAAGGCAGCCAUCUGGCCUAAUACUGACGCUGAGGUACGAAAGCAUGGGGAGCAAACAGGAUUAGACCCCCGUAGUCCCUGUCUCUUAUACAC
This 301-nucleotide ribosomal RNA is filed under the name uncultured bacterium. Its description in RNAcentral is "partial 16S ribosomal RNA". It matches the Rfam family "Bacterial small subunit ribosomal RNA", at positions 509 to 809 of the family's 1533-position model. The record is from RNAcentral.